RNAcentral lists this unclassified non-coding RNA (1222 nucleotides) under Leishmania donovani. RNAcentral describes it as "gene:LdHU3.21.0150(CDS-product:hypothetical_prote in_conserved)". The record is from RNAcentral. Lineage: Eukaryota; Euglenozoa; Kinetoplastea; Trypanosomatida; Trypanosomatidae.
UGGCGCCGCUGUACAGAGCAGCGCCAAGUCUCGUCUCUCCUGCUUUUCGAAGCAGCACUGCAGCUGCUGCUGCUGCUGACGCCGCAGUGGCAAGCGUCCUCUCAGCCGCGUAACCGCGUGUUACGGCAGCAGUAGGCCAACGCUCUGUCUCUCCCCUUUUUAUUUUAUUCGUUAGGUGCGAUGUUUCGCAUUAGCUUGAUCUGCUUCCCUAAGGUGGGAUGCGAGGAGAUCACGCGCCAGGCGCGUCGCGUAGUGCUCAAGCCACAGGAAUACUUCGCGCAGCACCGCAUGCAGGUAUGGCAGAUGCGGUUCAAGGAGAUGGGCCCUCCCUUCUCGCGUGUCUGGGUGGCGCUUGGGGGCAAGAUGCGCCGCCGUCGCAUUGGCCGGCAAAUAGAUGUGAAGGACAUGCGCUACUACUGGCGCCCCAUCGAGCCGCAGUACCAGCGCCUGUAUAUGUCGCGUCUUCGUAUCAAGGACCACUCAAACAAGCGCGUGCAACCGAUGCGUCUGCGAGCGACGAACAACGACAUUGGCCAGGCCUCCUCGCUGAGGGAAUGGGAGCGUUCUAGCGACCGCAAGUACGGAGCCGCCCUCGCGCCUCCCAAAAAACGAGACUUUGAGUUUCGCGUCUUCUGAGGUGCAGCUGUUCACAUUUGCUUGCCAUGCUUUUUGGCAUUGGCGCGCUCUCUACCGGCGGCCGUCAGCUCGGGUGCGUCCCCUGCCUCUUGUCUCCUCUAUCCCCGUGUGCAUCCCUCCCUCUUCGCGUAUCUUCAGCCUCUGCGACGCCCCUCUCACGUGUGCAUGCGUAAACGGAGGUCAGGCUGCAUGAAAGUGGGGAGGAGGGAUUCUUAAACAGGAAGCGCUGGACUCUGUUGUUGUUUCUACUGUAGAGCUAAGCAUGGGCGUUGAAAUAGGAUAUAUCGGUGCACAUGGGGUUGCCCAAAUGGGGCGUGAUCUGCUCGUUGCUGACGAGUGUCAUGGUGUGUCUCUCCGUCUCAAGCUCUGCGCAGGGCCAUGCGCGCUGCCCGAGUUUGUGGAGCUGUCCAAAGCUGCGCCUUGCAUGGAGCAACGUUCAUACCCACUUCCCAUGUCCCUCUCUCAUGCCGCUUGGUUCUCCGCACCGGUGCCGACGCAGACGAUUCCGUCCCCCUCCAAUAUCCCCUCGUCUCUCUUUUCGCGUUUGUCUUGGAGCUCUUCCCUGGCGAUUGCUGGUCUGUCGAAG